CAGCGGAACUUGGAUCGUCAUGCUGCCGUCAAGCGAACACAAGCACGGCGGGCUUGGAUUUACGAUCUCAAGUUGGGCCCCUUGGAUACAGAAAGUUGUGUGGGUUUCGAUAUUGAAACAUCGCAAGCCCAAAGCGUUGUUCGCUAACGAUGGAUGACAUUCGAGCGCGUUCCCUCUCUCUCUUGUUGGAAAGGGAUCAUGCGUGCCGAUGUCGAUCGAGGAGUGCUACCUGGUUGAUCCUGCCAGUAGUCAUAUGCUUGUCUCAAAGAUUAAGCCAUGCAUGUGUAAGUAUGAA
This 295-nucleotide unclassified non-coding RNA is filed under the name Axyris prostrata. Its description in RNAcentral is "partial contains external transcribed spacer and small subunit ribosomal RNA". The stretch from base 227 to 295 matches the Rfam family "Eukaryotic small subunit ribosomal RNA", at positions 1 to 69 of the family's 1831-position model. Lineage: Eukaryota; Viridiplantae; Streptophyta; Magnoliopsida; Caryophyllales; Amaranthaceae. The record is from RNAcentral.